RNAcentral lists this ribosomal RNA (769 nucleotides) under Salmonella enterica subsp. enterica serovar Anatum. Its description in RNAcentral is "partial 23S ribosomal RNA". It matches the Rfam family "Bacterial large subunit ribosomal RNA", at positions 711 to 1395 of the family's 2925-position model. The record is from RNAcentral. Lineage: Bacteria; Pseudomonadati; Pseudomonadota; Gammaproteobacteria; Enterobacterales; Enterobacteriaceae.
AGACCCGAAACCCGGUGAUCUAGCCAUGGGCAGGUUGAAGGUUGGGUAACACUAACUGGAGGACCGAACCGACUAAUGUUGAAAAAUUAGCGGAUGACCUGUGGCUGGGGGUGAAAGGCCAAUCAAACCGGGAGAUAGCUGGUUCUCCCCGAAAGCUAUUUAGGUAGCGCCUCGUGAAUUCAUCUCCGGGGGUAGAGCACUGUUUCGGCUAGGGGGCCAUCCCGGCUUACCAACCCGAUGCAAACUGCGAAUACCGGAGAAUGUUAUCACGGGAGACACACGGCGGGUGCUAACGUCCGUCGUGAAGAGGGAAACAACCCAGACCGCCAGCUAAGGUCCCAAAGUCAUGGUUAAGUGGGAAACGAUGUGGGAAGGCCCAGACAGCCAGGAUGUUGGCUUAGAAGCAGCCAUCAUUUAAAGAAAGCGUAAUAGCUCACUGGUCGAGUCGGCCUGCGCGGAAGAUGUAACGGGGCUAAACCAUGCACCGAAGCUGCGGCAGCGAACGUAUCACUUAAAGCGAUUCAGCGGGUUACGAUUGACGGAGCGAAGCGACGUCAAAGCGUAUACAAAGUCGAGUCGGUUUAAGGAUACGUUCGUUGGGUAGGGGAGCGUUCUGUAAGCCUGCGAAGGUGGCCUGUGAGGGUUGCUGGAGGUAUCAGAAGUGCGAAUGCUGACAUAAGUAACGAUAAAGCGGGUGAAAAGCCCGCUCGCCGGAAGACCAAGGGUUCCUGUCCAACGUUAAUCGGGGCAGGGUGAGUCGACCCCUAAG